AAAGGAGGGGAUGGUAAGAAUAACAGGGAAGGACAGAGGUCUGACAGAGAUCAUUUCAAAAGCUACAAACAGCUUGCCUGCUGUUUUCUGAUGGGAGACUGUAUUCAAUCAGGAAUCAAACUGGACUUUAUUGUACAUAUUGACUGGACAAAGACUGGCGGUUGACAGUGGGUAUUACCUUGUUCUUUUGCUACUCAGACACAGUUUUCAGGAAUAGAAUAUACAGGGUUGUGAUCCACGGCUAACAAAAGAACUACCCAAAAUACUGACUUGACUUAUUUAUAUCACUGCCUGUUAGAGGCAUGAGGACUGUACCAAGGCUUCACUACUGGCCAUCUUUAGUGUACCCAGGGAACCAGGACCUCAGCUUGGGAUAAUGGAGACUGCUAAUCAGACAGCGAGUGAAUCUCAAGGUGCAGGACAAACUUUGGCACCUCUUUGCACAGCCCGCUGCUGUGGACUACUAAACCGAACACUGGUGGUCAUGUUCAUGGUUAGCCUGGCCUUUGCUAUUGUGGUGGGAAACGUGGUGACGCUUACUGUUUUCAUGCAGACCCGGCAUUCUCGAACACCUCAGGGCUACCUCAAAGUGUCUCUGGCCUUCGCCGACAUGAUGGUUGGAGUCUUGGUGGUGCCAUUUUCUGUAUACACUGAAAUUUCUCUGAUGGUGACCAGCACUCCACCGCUGUGGUACCAGGGCAUUUCAGCGGUCUCACUGGAGGGUGGAUCAGGACCUUGGCAACCCUGCAUGCUGAUAGGUCCAGUUUUUGCUGGAUGCACUUUUGUCUCAAUUAGUACCAUCUUUCUGAUGACAGUGGAGCGCAGUGUGGCAAUCCUGCGUCCACUGCAUAAAGACACUCUUGUGACGCGGCAUCGCACCCUGUUCCUAAUUGUCUUGUCCUGGGCUGGCAGCUUCUUACUGGCAAUGGCUCCGCUCAUGCUAAGCAACAGCUUCACACUGGAGUACAAUGAAUGCAGCCGCAUGUGCAACUAUGCACCCUUACUAAUCGGACAUCAGUUGCCACCAGAUGCAAACAUCCUUCUGCUGUUUCCAGCCUUUGACUUCAGUUUAUUGGGUGGGACAUUAGCCAUCAAUAUCCUGUCCUUCACCAGUAUCCGCCGAUACUCCCGCAAACGAAAGCUGCUCUCUGAGGGAAGUCUUGGCACGGAUGCAGGAGCCGGCGGGUGUCCCCACAGGCCCUCUUUUUCUGAUAUCAAAGCAGCUAAAACCAUUGGAAUCCUCACCUUUGCCUUCACAGCCUCGUUCUCUCCUAUUGCAGUAUUUGUGCUGGGGAAUGUAGUGGGAUACACCUGGUGCAACUUCUCCUUUUUUGCAUUUUGGAUUCUGACAAGUAAUAGCUGCUGCAAUGUGAUUAUUUAUAGUUUUCGGGACCACCGUUUUAGGAAAGGGCUGACUCUGCUCUUUCAGCGGGACAGAGCACAACCUCACCCAGAGAAAAGCUGAGAUUUUUUGGACAGGAACUGGGCAAAGGCUGGCACUGACUUCACUUUCUUUACCUCCCGUCACUUUCGCCUUGAGAGAUUAAGAAUUUGCUUUUCAGGAUCUCUUUCACAAAUGGAUCAGGGACAACAAUAUACAUCAUUCCAGGGAUUGUGGCAGUUGUCAUUAUGUUUUACAGAGAAUUAUAGUCUUUAUUAGCAUUUCCCUACAGUUAUUUAUUUUUUUAUUCUGAUACACGUAUACGUAUGAAAUACAGAGACGCCUUAUUGAUUAUUGCGUUGCGUAUUCAGCAUAAAUCUGUAAAAUAUGUACGUGAGACAUUAUUUAAUGCGAUUUAUAAAAACAAUUAACAUUUUGAAAGAGUUCUAUUUCUACCUAAUCUGGCAAAAAAUAAAUAAAUAUAUAUAUAUAUAAUAGGUGUAAUUAGGUAAGUUCACAUGAACAAACCACAUGACCUUCCCAUGUGAAAUCACAUGUUAAAAUCACAUGUGAAAUGUGGUUUUGGAAUGUUUUCAUGUUGUGAAUGUGUGAAACCCAUGUGAUCACAUAUGAACAUGUGGACAUGUGUGGGCUUUUUUCUGUAAGGGAUUGACUUGAACGAUACAGCUGAGGUACUCUUUGUUUAAAAAAUAAAAAUACAGUAUUAUAGAUUCUUCUUUCCAUUUUUAGAUUUUUACUUCUAUAGUAGAAAAUUAUUAGAAAAAUAAAUAAAUAAUAAUAAUUAAGUGAAAAAAACACAAUAUGUAAGUAGAUAACCUUGUAACAACUAGCUGACACCCUUAACACUGUGAAGUACAUAAUCAGUGCUAUAUUAUUGAUAGAAUGAGACUUCAGAAUUUUUAAUAAACAAUUUGAAGCAAAUGUAUCCCCUGUUCACUGAGUGUGGAUAAUAGUAGGUGACAGGGCUAAAAGUCUGUCAGUCUUCUGUUUAAAUAUUCACAUCUUCAGCAGCAGAACCACAUAAAGCUACUCAGAGUACACACUGACUGCCUCAGGCUGUAACUUCUCCCUCACG
Sinocyclocheilus anshuiensis is the source of this 2477-nucleotide long non-coding RNA. Ensembl annotates it as trace amine-associated receptor 13c-like. NCBI's taxonomy places the organism in Eukaryota, Metazoa, Chordata, Actinopteri, Cypriniformes, Cyprinidae. The record is from Ensembl.